CCACUAAGCUAGGGGUGCCUAAAAUAUUUAGGCUGAGAAAUACCCUUAGAACCUGAGACUGGUUAAUACCAGCGGAGGGAAGCUGUUUAUUUAAGGA
Molecule: non-coding RNA, 97 nt
Organism: Trichodesmium erythraeum IMS101
Lineage: Bacteria; Bacillati; Cyanobacteriota; Cyanophyceae; Oscillatoriales; Microcoleaceae
Source: Rfam